AAAUCAAUAUGAUACUCCCCUAGUAGCGGCGAGCGAACGGGGACCAGCCGAGCCUUGAGUGUGAGAAGAACAUGUUGGGAAGCAUGGCCAUAGCGGGUGAUAGCCCCGUAUUCGAAGCAUGAUGGGACGUAUUAAGUAGGGCGGAACACGUGAAAUUCUGUCUGAAGAUCGGAGGACCACCUUCGAAGGCUAAGUACUCCUUACUGACCGAUAGUGAACCAGUACCGUGAGGGAAAGGUGAAAAGCACCCCGACGAGGGGAGUGAAACAGUACCUGAAACCGAACGCCUACAAUCAGUUGGAGGGCCCUUGCGGCCUGACAGCGUACCUUUUGUAUAAUGGGUCAUCGACUUGGUCUCACGAGCAAGCUUAAACCGUUAGGUGUAGGCGCAGCGAAAGCGAGUCUUAAUAGGGCGCAUGAGUUCGUGGGAUCAGACCCGAAACCGAGUGAUCUAGGCAUGGCCAGGUUGAAGGUGCAGUAACAUGCACUGGAGGACCGAACCCACAUCUGUUGAAAAAGAUCGGGAUGAGCUGUGCCUAGGGGUGAAAGGCCAAUCAAACUCGGAGAUAGCUGGUUCUCUGCGAAAUCUAUUUAGGUAGAGCGUCGUCCGAAUACCCCGGGGGGUAGAGCACUGGAUGGGUAAUGGGGACUCACCGUCUUACUGAUCCUAACCAAACUCCGAAUACCCGGGAGUACUAGACGGCAGACACACUGCGGAUGCUAACGUCCGUAGUGGAGAGGGAAACAACCCUGACCUCCAGCUAAGGCCCCUAAUUCAUGGCUAAGUGGGAAAGCAGGUGGGAUGUCCAAAACAACCAGGAAGUUGGCUUAGAAGCAGCCAUCUUUUAAAGAUAGCGUAACAGCUCACUGGUCUAAUUAAGACGUCCUGCGGCGAAGAUGUAACGGGGCUCAAGCCAUGAGCCGAAGCUGAGGAUGCACAUAGUGCAUGGUAGCAGAGCGUAGUGUGACAUAGA
RNAcentral lists this ribosomal RNA (974 nucleotides) under uncultured Thalassiosira. RNAcentral describes it as "partial Bacterial large subunit ribosomal RNA". It matches the Rfam family "Bacterial large subunit ribosomal RNA", at positions 222 to 1253 of the family's 2925-position model. Lineage: Eukaryota; Bacillariophyta; Thalassiosirophyceae; Thalassiosirales; Thalassiosiraceae. The record is from RNAcentral.